GACGAACGCUGGCGGCGUGCCUAAUACAUGCAAGUCGAACGCUGAAGGAGGAGCUUGCUUCUCCGGAUGAGUUGCGAACGGGUGAGUAACGCGUAGGUAACCUGCCUGGUAGCGGGGGAUAACUAUUGGAAACGAUAGCUAAUACCGCAUAAGAGUAGAUGUUGCAUGACAUUUGCUUAAAAGGUGCAAUUGCAUCACUACCAGAUGGACCUGCGUUGUAUUAGCUAGUUGGUGGGGUAACGGCUUACCAAGGCGACGAUACAUAGCCGACCUGAGAGGGUGAUCGGCCACACUGGGACUGAGACACGGCCCAGACUCCUACGGGAGGCAGCAGUAGGGAAUCUUCGGCAAUGGACGGAAGUCUGACCGAGCAACGCCGCGUGAGUGAAGAAGGUUUUCGGAUCGUAAAGCUCUGUUGUAAGAGAAGAACGAGUGUGAGAGUGGAAAGUUCACACUGUGACGGUAUCUUACCAGAAAGGGACGGCUAACUACGUG
This 495-nucleotide ribosomal RNA is filed under the name uncultured bacterium. RNAcentral's name for it is "partial 16S ribosomal RNA". It matches the Rfam family "Bacterial small subunit ribosomal RNA", at positions 28 to 507 of the family's 1533-position model. The record is from RNAcentral.